Tyto alba (common barn owl) is the source of this 365-nucleotide long non-coding RNA. RefSeq lists it as uncharacterized. The transcript is spliced from 2 exons. The record is from RefSeq and is a predicted model, not a curated record. NCBI's taxonomy places the organism in Eukaryota, Metazoa, Chordata, Aves, Strigiformes, Tytonidae.
GCCAAGAAGAUUAUAGAUUGCUGAUCCAAGGAUGGUGCUGACGCCGAUAUCUCCCUUUGUCACGAAGACUCCUAUAAAGAAAAUGACUCUCUGGGAAAGCCAUGCUACUGUGUCUUCACAUACCAGAAAUACUAGUUAAAUUCAAACCAGUGCUGCGAUCUUAAAUUUUCACUUCGUAUGGACAGUAUAAGAGCCUGUGUCUUGCUUGAAUGAAAUGAGAUUUUUGUUCUGGUAAGUUGACUGUUUCUGAAAUGUAACUCACUAUGUGGAUCAAGUUCUGCACGCUAAGAACAGGGACAUAUGGCUAACUAUGGAAAGUCUCACAAAUGCUUAUUUAUCAUCAAUAAAAUAAUACCAGAUCUACA